AAUAGAUACCCGGGUAGUCCACGCCCUAAACGAUGUCAACUGGUUGUCGGGGAAGCAAUUCCUUGGUAACGAAGCUAACGCGUGAAGUUGACCGCCUGGGGAGUACGGCCGCAAGGUUAAAACUCAAAGGAAUUGACGGGGACCCGCACAAGCGGUGGAUUAUGUGGAUUAAUUCGAUGCAACGCGAAAAACCUUACCUACCCUUGACAUGUACGGAACCUCGCAGAGAUGUGAGGGUGCCCGAAAGGGAGCCGUAACACAGGUGCUGCAUGGCUGUCGUCAGCUCGUGUCGUGAGAUGUUGGGUUAAGUCCCGCAACGAGCGCAACCCUUGUCAUUAGUUGCUACAUUCAGUUGGGCACUCUAAUGAGACUGCCGGUGACAAACCGGAGGAAGGUGGGGAUGACGUCAAGUCCUCAUGGCCCUUAUGGGUAGGGCUUCACACGUAAUACAAUGGCCGGUACAGAGGGCUGCCAACCCGGCGAGGGGGAGCUAAUCCCAGAAAGCCGGUCGUAGUCCGGAUUGUUCUCUGCAACUCGAGAGCAUG
Molecule: ribosomal RNA, 545 nt
Filed under: uncultured bacterium
Lineage: Bacteria
Description: bacterial SSU rRNA
Rfam family: Bacterial small subunit ribosomal RNA
Source: RNAcentral